AUGGCCAAGAAAGGCGCCGGCGGUGAGGAGAGUGUGGUCGUGCCGGCGCAGACGGAGCAGGCCAAGCAAGGCCCUCCCCGAAAGCGCAACCCGUGCCCCGGAAUCCGCUGCGUCGGCGGCCGGAUCUAUGACCCGGAGAACGGGAAGACCUGCCACCAGUGUCGUCAGAAGACGAUGGACUUUGCUGUGGCUUGCACGCAGCCCCGGAAGAAGGGGCUCUGUCCAAUCCACUUCUGCCACAAGUGCUUGUUCAACAGGUAUGGCGAGAACGCCGAGGAUAUGACCAAGGAGGCGGGCUGGACCUGCCCCAAAUGCAGGGGCAUCUGCAACUGCAGCUUCUGCAGGAAGAAGAAAGGGGAGACGCCUACAGGAAUACUGGCCCAUGCUGCCAAGGCGUCAGGGCACUCGUCCGUCCAUGAUUUGCUGAUAAAGGGCUCCGACAUGGUGGUUGCUGCACAGACGCUGUCCUCGCUCCCUAAGAAGAUCAAGAAGGAACGCAAGGAGGGCAGCUUAAAGAGGGCGCUAGGGACAGAUGAUGCUACCGGUGGAUUGUUCGCUGAAGGGGAUGAGAAUAUUAAGACUGAUCUCAAUGCACUUCCUUCAGUUCCUAUCAAAAAGAAGCUGAAGAAGAUCAAGAAGGAACACAAGGAGGGCAACAUAAAGAAGGUGCCAGGGACAGGCGAUGCUACUGAUGGAUUGUUGACUGAAGGGGAUGAGAAUACAAACACUGAUCUCAAUGCAUUUCCUUCAGUUCCUACCAACAAGGAGCUGAAGAAGAUCAAGAAGGAACGCAAGAAGGGCAACAUAAAGAAGGCCCUAGGGACAGAUGAUGGUACUGAUGGAUUGUUGGCUGAAGGGGGUGAGAAUGCAAGGACUGAUCUCAAUGCAGUUCCUUCAGUUCCUACCGACAAGGAGCUGAAGAAGAUCAUGAAGGAACACAAGAAGGGCAACAUAAAGAGGGCCCUAGGGACAGAUGAUGGUACUGAUGGAUUGUUGGCUCAAGGGGAUGACAAUACAGGGACUGAUCUCAAUGCACUUCUUCCAGUUCCCAUCAGCAAGAAGCUGAAAAAGGGCAACCACAGGGUAAAUGACAUGACUGCUGAUGAAAAGUGCCCUGUUGAAAUUAAGGGCGAACUUCACAUUAGGAAUGAGAGCACUGAUGUCCCAGGGACCAAAAUUGAGCUACCCAUAGGUACUCCAGUCACUGACAUUGCAGGGGCUGAGCUGGAGGUUGAUGAUGUUGGGUCUGCACUUCAGUUUCAUGAAUUCUGCCGCACAUUUGCAGAGGUUCUUAAAAUAAGAAAGGGACAGCCAGAAAAAGUUCUUCAAGUCAUCACUGGAGGAGGCCGUAUCGGGCGAGAGGUGCCUUCAGUUGUUGCUGACCUUCACAUUAGUUUGUUAUCUGUCAUCCAAGAAGACAGAGAAGAGAACCCUUCGGACUAUUCAAGGAAUGGUGAUGCUUGGAUAAUUGAUACUGGCAAAUAUAUUAGUGAAUCCACAGUUAUCUCGAAGGAACUGCCUGUUGAUUGUUUAAGUCAAGGGGUAUUAGGAUAUAAAAAAUUGAGCCCUUCUUUAAAGCUGCAUGUGCUGAAUUUUCUGUGUGAUGAGGCCCUUUCUACUGCAACAUUAAAGAACUGGGUUCUCAAACAGCAUGAAAGUGCAACUGAGAGAAAGGUUGCUGCAAGGGAAAAAUUCCGUGCUGUCAAGGAAAAGGAAAAGGAGCUUAAAGAAAAACUAACUAUUAAGAUGGCUAAACCAAGGUUUUUGAGAAAUGGAGCAGAAAUUAAUAGUCUCGUUUCUCAAAUUAAGGAGGCAUAUGAAGACAAGAAGGCAGUAAUAGAUGAGGAGAAGCUGGGAGGUCUAGUUAGGAAAAAGCCUGUCAGGAUAGAUGAAGGGGUUGCGUACUGGAAGCUGGAUGGUUAUUGUGAUAAGACAGCAAUAAUGCGCCAAGAGUUUGACGCAACAGAGAACACUGACAAGUGGUUUAUGUUCACCGAGGAAGAAGAAAAAGUAAUCAAAGGUCAUGUAGCCCCAAGGCCCCAGUUGAAGCGCAAAAACAAAACACAUACCUUGGCUGGGCACAAUGCUCUACCGAUCUCAAGCUCCAUGAAAACUCAGACUCCUGUUUCAGCUGUUUGA
RNAcentral lists this ribosomal RNA (2139 nucleotides) under Triticum aestivum (bread wheat). RNAcentral's name for it is "partial small subunit ribosomal RNA". The record is from RNAcentral. Lineage: Eukaryota; Viridiplantae; Streptophyta; Magnoliopsida; Poales; Poaceae.